RNAcentral lists this ribosomal RNA (891 nucleotides) under Escherichia coli. Its description in RNAcentral is "partial 23S ribosomal RNA". It matches the Rfam family "Bacterial large subunit ribosomal RNA", at positions 2031 to 2916 of the family's 2925-position model. The record is from RNAcentral. Lineage: Bacteria; Pseudomonadati; Pseudomonadota; Gammaproteobacteria; Enterobacterales; Enterobacteriaceae.
ACUCAGUGAAAUUGAACUCGCUGUGAAGAUGCAGUGUACCCGCGGCAAGACGGAAAGACCCCGUGAACCUUUACUAUAGCUUGACACUGAACAUUGAGCCUUGAUGUGUAGGAUAGGUGGGAGGCUUUGAAGUGUGGACGCCAGUCUGCAUGGAGCCGACCUUGAAAUACCACCCUUUAAUGUUUGAUGUUCUAACGUUGGCCCGUUAUCCGGGUUGCGGACAGUGUCUGGUGGGUAGUUUGACUGGGGCGGUCUCCUCCUAAAGAGUAACGGAGGAGCACGAAGGUUGGCUAAUCCUGGUCGGACAUCAGGAGGUUAGUGCAAUGGCAUAAGCCAGCUUGACUGCGAGCGUGACGGCGCGAGCAGGUGCGAAAGCAGGUCAUAGUGAUCCGGUGGUUCUGAAUGGAAGGGCCAUCGCUCAACGGAUAAAAGGUACUCCGGGGAUAACAGGCUGAUACCGCCCAAGAGUUCAUAUCGACGGCGGUGUUUGGCACCUCGAUGUCGGCUCAUCACAUCCUGGGGCUGAAGUAGGUCCCAAGGGUAUGGCUGUUCGCCAUUUAAAGUGGUACGCGAGCUGGGUUUAGAACGUCGUGAGACAGUUCGGUCCCUAUCUGCCGUGGGCGCUGGAGAACUGAGGGGGGCUGCUCCUAGUACGAGAGGACCGGAGUGGACGCAUCACUGGUGUUCGGGUUGUCAUGCCAAUGGCACUGCCCGGUAGCUAAAUGCGGAAGAGAUAAGUGCUGAAAGCAUCUAAGCACGAAACUUGCCCCGAGAUGAGUUCUCCCUGACUCCCUGAGAGUCCUGAAGGAACGUUGAAGACGACGACGUUGAUAGGCCGGGUGUGUAAGCGCAGCGAUGCGUUGAGCUAACCGGUACUAAUGAACCGUGAGG